UAGGGAAUAUUGGACAAUGGGGGCAACCCUGAUCCAGCCAUGCCGCGUGGGUGAAGAAGGCCCUCGGGUUGUAAAGCUCUUUUGUCCGGAAAGAAAAGCUUCGGGUUAAUACCCCGGGGUUCUGACGGUACCGGAAGAAUAAGCACCGGCUAACUUCGUGCCAGCAGCCGCGGUAAUACGAAGGGUGCAAGCGUUACUCGGAAUUACUGGGCGUAAAGCGUGCGUAGGUGGUUGUUUAAGUCUGAUGUGAAAGCCCUGGGCUCAACCUGGGAGUGGCAUUGGAAACUGGGCAGCUAGAGUGCGGUAGAGGGCAGUGGAAUUCCAGGUGUAGCAGUGAAAUGCGUAGAGAUCGGGAGGAACAUCUGUGGCGAAGGCGUCUGCCUGGACCAGCACUGACACUGAGGCACGAAAGCGUGGGGAGCAAACA
RNAcentral lists this ribosomal RNA (427 nucleotides) under uncultured bacterium. Its description in RNAcentral is "bacterial SSU rRNA". It matches the Rfam family "Bacterial small subunit ribosomal RNA", at positions 355 to 774 of the family's 1533-position model. The record is from RNAcentral.